GUCUACGGCCAUACCACCCUGAAUGCACCUGAGCUGGUCUGGAAGUUUCCCAGGGGAUAGCGAGCCGCUUCUUGAGAACUACAGCUGUAGACA
This is a ribosomal RNA of Ursus americanus (American black bear), 93 nucleotides long. The record is from Ensembl. NCBI's taxonomy places the organism in Eukaryota, Metazoa, Chordata, Mammalia, Carnivora, Ursidae.